UCCCUGGUGGCUCAGACGGUAAAGCAUCUGCCUACAAUGCAGGAGACCUGGGUUCGAUUCCUGGGUGGGGAA
Molecule: transfer RNA, 72 nt
Filed under: Bos taurus (domestic cattle)
Lineage: Eukaryota; Metazoa; Chordata; Mammalia; Artiodactyla; Bovidae
Also listed under: 1 other name
Rfam family: tRNA
About the family: Transfer RNA (tRNA) molecules are approximately 80 nucleotides in length.
Source: Rfam by way of RNAcentral